GACCCCAGGUCAGGCAUGGCCACCCGCUGAAUUUAAGCAUAUCAAUAAGCGGAGGAGAAGAAACUUACGA
Molecule: ribosomal RNA, 70 nt
Filed under: Cinnamomum osmophloeum
Lineage: Eukaryota; Viridiplantae; Streptophyta; Magnoliopsida; Laurales; Lauraceae
Description: partial 26S ribosomal RNA
Rfam family: Eukaryotic large subunit ribosomal RNA
Source: RNAcentral